RNAcentral lists this ribosomal RNA (576 nucleotides) under Exobasidium sp. CBS 10246. RNAcentral's name for it is "eukaryotic LSU rRNA". It matches the Rfam family "Eukaryotic large subunit ribosomal RNA", at positions 70 to 635 of the family's 3401-position model. Lineage: Eukaryota; Fungi; Basidiomycota; Exobasidiomycetes; Exobasidiales; Exobasidiaceae. The record is from RNAcentral.
AAGGAUUCCCCUAGUAACGGCGAGUGAAGCGGGAUGAGCUCAAAUUUAAAAGCUGGCAGUAAUGUCCGCGUUGUAAUCUCGAGAAAUGUUUUCCGCGCUGGACCACGUACAAGUUCCUUGGAAUAGGAUGUCAUAGAGGGUGAAAAUCCCGUACUUGAUGUGGACGCCCAGUGCUUUGUGAUACAUUUUCGAAGAGUCGAGUUGUUUGGGAAUGCAGCUCAAAAUGGGUGGUAAAUUCCAUCUAAAGCUAAAUAUUGGGGAGAGACCGAUAGCGAACAAGUACCGUGAGGGAAAGAUGAAAAGCACUUUGGAAAGAGAGUUAAACAGUACGUGAAAUUGUCAAAAGGGAAGCAUUUGAAGUCAGAUAUGUAUUGUAGUAUUCAGCCUUGCUUUUGCUUGGUGUAUUUGCUGUAGUACAGGCCAACAUCAGUUUUGAGUGACGGAUAAGGGUAGAGGGAAUGUGGCACCUUCGGGUGUGUUAUAGCCCUUUACUGGAUACGUCGUUUGGGACUGAGGAACGCAGCGCGCCGCAAGGCAGACCCUCGGGUACUUUCGCGCUUAGGAUGUUGGCGUAAU